UACAUGAGGUGCAAACGUUACCCGGAAUCAUUGGGCGUAAAGCGUCCGCAGGUGGUUCAUUAAGUCUGAUGUAAAAUCUUGAGGCUCAACUUCAAGUUCGCGUCUGAAACUGAUGAACUAGAGUAUUGGAGAGGUGAGUGGAAUUCUAUAUGUAGGGGUAAAAUCCGUAGAUAUAUAGAGGAACACCAAAAGCGAAGGCAGCUCACUGGCCAAUUACUGACACUCAGGGACGAAAGCGUGGGUAGCAAACGGG
RNAcentral lists this ribosomal RNA (253 nucleotides) under uncultured bacterium. RNAcentral's name for it is "partial 16S ribosomal RNA". It matches the Rfam family "Bacterial small subunit ribosomal RNA", at positions 524 to 776 of the family's 1533-position model. The record is from RNAcentral.